Molecule: ribosomal RNA, 464 nt
Filed under: uncultured bacterium
Lineage: Bacteria
Description: bacterial SSU rRNA
Rfam family: Bacterial small subunit ribosomal RNA
Source: RNAcentral
CCUACGGGUUGCAGCAGUGGGGAAUAUUGCACAAUGGGCGCAAGCCUGAUGCAGCCAUGCCGCGUGUAUGAAGAAGGCCUUAGGGUUGUAAAGUACUUCAGUUGGGAGAAAGGCGUUGAUGCUAAUAUCAUCAACGAUUGACGUUACCAACAGAAGAAGCACCGGCUAACUCCGUGCCAGCAGCCGCGGUAAUACGGAGGGUGCAAGCGUUAAUCGGAAUUACUGGGCGUAAAGCGCACGCAGGCGGUUGAUUAAGUUAGAUGUGAAAUCCCCGGGCUUAACCUGGGAAUGGCAUCUAAGACUGGUCAGCUAGAGUCUUGUAGAGGGGGGUAGAAUUCCAUGUGUAGCGGUGAAAUGCGUAGAGAUGUGGAGGAAUACCGGUGGCGAAGGCGGCCCCCUGGACAAAGACUGACGCUCAGGUGCGAAAGCGUGGGGAGCAAACAGGAUUAGAUACCCGCGUAGUC